This 481-nucleotide ribosomal RNA is filed under the name uncultured bacterium. RNAcentral's name for it is "partial 16S ribosomal RNA". It matches the Rfam family "Bacterial small subunit ribosomal RNA", at positions 28 to 507 of the family's 1533-position model. The record is from RNAcentral.
GAUGAACGCUGGCGGCGUGCUUAACACAUGCAAGUCGAACGAAGCAUUUAGGACAGAUUACUUCGGUUUGAAGUUCUUUAUGACUGAGUGGCGGACGGGUGAGUAACGCGUGGGUAACCUGCCUUGUACUGGGGGAUAGCAGCUGGAAACGGCUGGUAAUACCGCAUAAGCGCACAAUGUUGCAUGACAUGGUGUGAAAAACUCCGGUGGUAUAAGAUGGACCCGCGUCUGAUUAGCUAGUUGGUGAGAUAACAGCCCACCAAGGCGACGAUCAGUAGCCGACCUGAGAGGGUGACCGGCCACAUUGGGACUGAGACACGGCCCAGACUCCUACGGGAGUCAGCAGUGGGGAAUAUUGCACAAUGGAGGAAACUCUGAUGCAGCGACGCCGCGUGAGUGAAGAAGUAAUUCGUUAUGUAAAGCUCUAUCAGCAGGGAAGAUAGUGACGGUACCUGACUAAGAAGCGCCGGCUAAAUACGUG